This 497-nucleotide ribosomal RNA is filed under the name uncultured bacterium. RNAcentral's name for it is "partial 16S ribosomal RNA". It matches the Rfam family "Bacterial small subunit ribosomal RNA", at positions 28 to 507 of the family's 1533-position model. The record is from RNAcentral.
GAUGAACGCUGGCGGCGUGCCUAAUACAUGCAAGUAGAACGCUGAAGGAAGGAGCUUGCUCUUUCCGGAUGAGUUGCGAACGGGUGAGUAACGCGUAGGUAACCUGCCUGGUAGCGGGGGAUAACUAUUGGAAACGAUAGCUAAUACCGCAUAACAGUAGAUGUUGCAUGAUAUCUACUUAAAAGGUGCAAUUGCACCACUACCAGAUGGACCUGCGUUGUAUUAGCUAGUUGGUGAGGUAACGGCUCACCAAGGCGACGAUACAUAGCCGACCUGAGAGGGGGAUCGGCCACACUGGGAAUGAGACACGGCCCAGACUACUACGGGAGGCAGCAGUAGGGAAUCGUCGGGAAUGGACGGAAGGCUGACCGAGCAACGCCGCGUGAGUGAAGAAGGUUUUCGGAUCGUAAAGCUCUGUUGUAAGAGAAGAACGAGUGUGAGAGUGGAAAGUUCACACUGUGACGGUAUCUUACCAGAAAGGGACGGCUAACUACGUG